RNAcentral lists this long non-coding RNA (869 nucleotides) under Gossypium raimondii (Peruvian cotton). RNAcentral's name for it is "long non-coding RNA (GRAI_LNC005692)". The record is from RNAcentral. Lineage: Eukaryota; Viridiplantae; Streptophyta; Magnoliopsida; Malvales; Malvaceae.
UUGCACAUGCAUGUUAGAUAGAGAAAAAUUAUAUAAACCCUAACGGUAUUAUUCAAGUUUUAUAGUAUAAGGUAUAGAAGAAUAGUUUAAGAGCAUAAAUACAAUUAUGCUAGUACAUAUAAGUACAUGUCACGUAAUACCAUACUUUCACGUACGCAGUGUGUUAGCAAUUAAUAUUUAGGAUUAAACAUAAUCGAAAAUAACAUUUCUAAAAACACUUACAAGGAAAGAAAAUUCUUGUUUAAUUACCUAUGGAUUAUCAUUACUUGUUGUUACCAAUAUCACAUAGUUUAUUUGGCUUUCAAGUGAAGAAAUUAGUUCACCUAUAACCCCCAUCCCCCACCUUUGUUUUUUCAUCUUUAACUCACUAGGUAGCAAAUCCAUUGCAGUUGUACUCGUACUAAAUUUCUACUGUCAAAAAAUAAAAAAACUCUUUUAAAUAUUGUGUCCGACGAUGGUUGUUUGAAUUAAAUUGGAUUGGUUGGAUCAAGAGUCACUUGGGAUAUUAGUACGAAGAAGGGCAUUAAAUUUUUUAAUAAUUUAUUUAAUCGAACUGGAUGGACUGAUGAACCGAUGACUUUGGUUUUAUGUUAAUAAAGGUUAGUUUCGACCCAUGAUACCUAGCUGUUAUAUCUUGUGGAGAGGGCUUUAUAAUAAUAUGUACCAACAAAGAUUUAAGCAAAGUCAUUUUGCACUGCAGUAGUUGAAUGUGAUCACUUUUCUCCACGAUGUUACUUUUGUUCUCUUAUUAAGUAUAGUGUUGACAAGGCUUUAUCCAGGGCAUUGCAAUUUGCAAUUACAGGUAAUGGUUUCGCUGCAGUCAGACAUGAGUCUGAAAGGUUCUCCUCCCCAACAACGUUACUUUCAGC